Molecule: long non-coding RNA, 6432 nt
Filed under: Sus scrofa (pig)
Lineage: Eukaryota; Metazoa; Chordata; Mammalia; Artiodactyla; Suidae
Description: lncRNA (ENSSSCG00005006840.1)
Source: RNAcentral
UUUUUUUUUUUUUUUUUUUUUCUUUUGGAUUUUUGGCCAUUCCUGCAGCAUGCAGAAGUUCCUGGGCUGGGGAUCAAACCUCCACCACAGCAGUGACAGCACCACAUCUUUAUCCCACUGAGCCACCAGGGAACUCCCAAAGUGGGAGCUUCUUGCAUUGGGCUUUUAUUUUCCUCCCUGGGCUGGUGUUAGAUUCUCUGGAUACCCAAGGUGACGGGAGGAGAAGCAGAUGACGGCGACACAUCACAGUUUAUUUCUGGAAUCAGGCCUCCUCCUGAGGCCAAGGCUUUUCCUCCAAAGGAGGGGGACCUAUUCCCCCACAGAGGCUUUCAGCACAAAAGCAAGAAGAAGAUUCCAGCUCAUGGGGGCUCGAUCAACAAGUCAGUUCAAGAAGAUGGAUAUAAAUAGAAGUGCUCAGAAGGCUGAAUUUUUUUUUUUUUUUUUUUUUUUUUUUUGCUCUGGGGAGGUUAAAGUGGAAUCCGAAAUCAUAGAUUUCCUGAAAAUCAGUAUUUAAGAAUGUAAUAGGUGUGGUAACUGGCAAGAAGAUCCUUUGGUUUAAUAACAUAUGAAGGGAGGAGUUCCUGUUGUGGAUCAGUGGUAAUGAACCCAACGGGGAUCCAUGAGGACUCGGGUUCGACCCCUGGCCCUGCUGAGUGGGUUAAGGAUCUGGCAUUGCUAUGAGCUGCGGUGUAGGUCACAGACUUGGCUCGGAUCCCGCAUUACUGCAUUGUGACGUAGGCCAGCAGCUGCAGCUCCAAUUCGACCCCUAGCCUGGGAACUUCCAUAUGGCGUGGUUGCGGCCCCAAAAGCAAAAACUAAAAAAAAAUAACAUAUGCAGGGAAAUCUGGCAUCACCAUUAUCCUCCUUCCCUGUCCUUCUGUCAUCUCGUUAAGGUCUUNNNNNNNNNNNNNNNNNNNNNNNNNNNNNNNNNAGGAACGUGUUUUGCAGUUUUGCUGUUGAUUUGCAAGGACCCUGCGAGGAUCCGAGGAUGCUGUCAGGAGCUCUGGUUGUCAGCCGAGCUCAGUGCGUCGUGGUAGCUGCGUGUUGACAAGCACUGACGUUGCUGCAGGACGGAGCGAGUGUUUUCCCCGUCGCGGUGACAAAAGCAGCCUGGUGAUUCAAGGCUCUUAUUUCAGAGGGAGCGGUGGUGCUGUGUGCAGAGAGCCCCUUAAGUUGAGUGUGAGGCUCAUCAACAGGCCAGUUAAGAUGAAAGGGAGGGUGGCUGUGGAAAUACCAGUGCUAUGGAAAUACCAGAGUGUUGCUAAAGCUGUCUGGGUUCAGGGCCAAAUGGAGCUUUUUAGUGUGAAGACGAUGUGAGACUUGUUUUCAUGUCGGAUACCCUCCUACAGAGGGGGCUGCUUUUAGAAAAAAAUUGUUUUGCUUCUCUGGGUACCACCUACAGAAAUGUGUUUAUUUUAACUGUUGAAGAAUUGCACAAAGCUGGUGAAACCGCCUUGUGAGAGGGGAGUCUCUGGAUGGGUAUUUUCUCAUCCUGUGACAGCCCAGCUUGGAAUGGCCAUCAGGCUAAAGGUUAUAGCUGUGAUAUUAGAGCCGGGUGUUGGUUUAUAGAACUGCACUAAUGGUUUUGUUGGGCAUCCUUAGGAAGGAUGGAGCCAACCUGAUUUGCUUCUGCCAAGACCACUUUUUGGGGGGACAGGGGGAGCUGCACCCAUGGCUUAUGAAAGUUCCCAGACUAGGAGUCGAACCCGAGCUACAGCUGCUGGCCCACGCCAACAGCCACAGCAGUGCAGGGUCUGAACCUCAUCUGUGACCUACACUGAAGCUCACAGCAAUGCUGGAUCCUUAACCCACUGAGCAGACCAGGGAUUGAACCUGCAUCUCAUGAACACUAAUCAGGUUCAUUACCAAUGAGCCAUAGCAGCGAGUCUGCUGCAAAGACCACUUAAUCCUCAGCAAGAGAGCCUCAAAACCACCUGUUAUUCCAUACUCUCAUUUAAAAAAUACACCCUGUUGCAUUGUUAAGCCUUAUGCAAACCUUGCUCUAGUCCUGUUUACAUGUUAUAAAAUGAAGAGAACCCACUGCAUGGCUCUGCAGAGGACAGACCCCAUUAAUCUGUACUUACUUUUCUGCCUAAAAUGUAAGCAUCUUAAUAAUAUGGUGACGACUCGGUGGGAGGGGUUGGCUAAGGGACAGCUCAGGACCAUCUUGCAGAUGAAUAACCCCUCAGCUCAGCAAAACUGUGUCAUCUGUCCAGGGCGGUAGGUUCACAGGUGCCAGGAGCACAGGUGUGUGCGGGAGGAUCCCUCCUAUAGCACCACUCAGCUCCCUUGGUUGUUGAGGGAGGUGCAGAUAUGAUAUUUGAUCAUGUCUGUUAUCUACAAAACAAACCCACUGUUUACCCAGGAACCCAGGUGUGUCUUUUAGGUAGCUGUUCAUCUAGCCUUGCUUCUGAUGUCUCUGGCCCUGAGGGUCUUCUGUGGGACCCAGGGAUACCCAGAAGCAUAUCUGGAAGGCUGAUGCAAAGAAAGGAGGGAGCAUGGAGAAGGUUGGAGGUGUGGGGAGGGAGGCAAUGUACAGCAAACUUACAAAGAGGAGCCGGCAGUACAAGUCCAUGGGGGGCACCAGCAGUUGCCUCAGGUCCUGAUGUUCUGCAGAGAGUUCCCUGAUGGUGCAGCAGGCUAAGGAUCUGGCAUUGUCAUUACUGUGGCAUGCGUUCACUCCCUGGCCUAGGAACUUCCACAUGCCCCAAGUGCUGCUACCUUCAAAAGAGGAAGAACCAAAUUUGAGGCAGAGUGAGUGUUUUGCAAAGGUGAAAGUAAGCCCAAGAAUGUCACAGGAUUACCAGGAAAAAAAGGAAUUCUUCUCUGUCUUCGCCAGAUCUUCAAAAAUGGAAAUCCUGUCCUUAGAGGAAAUAGAAACAGGGUAAACUACACGCUUCUCCACCUCACUUCUGGAGAGUGGAGACUGUUUGAAAGCAGAGAGGUGUACCUUUGAUGAAUCAUGAAAACAUCUCUUUUCUGUUUUCACGGGGGCAGACUCGCUCCUGUCCCACUUUGGCUCAGCAGAUCAGCCAGAACUCCUGCUCCUGUGCUCUUUGUCUUAGUAUGUUUUCAAGUGUGGUUAUCCACUGACGAAAACGAUGGUCAGUUUGUCUGUUCCCAGAAUGGGAGUUAAUAAUUCUUUUAAAAACAGGAACAGUGAAAUGGUAUCAGAUUAUACUUCACACAUUUUGUUAUUGGGGAUAAUUUUAACUUUUGGUCACUUAAGCAGUAACUGCAGAGUUUCUCUUGAUCUUAUCUAAAAGUGAGGGGACGAAAAGGAGCUUUUCAAACAGAGAUCUGAUAUAAUAAUGAUAGUAAAGAAGAUAACUAAGCAGAAAAUGCUUUCUUUGAACGCUUUGGGUAUCUUUUUCUGCUUAAAAGGGGGGAGUCCAGUCUAGAGUAUCUUUAGCUGGUACUUUUCGUAAGUUCAGUACACAUCCUGAUGAUGUGGGAAGCACUGGCUUUCCUGCACCUGCUUCAGGUAAUGCAUGCACCCCAACAGGUGUUUGUCAAUCUGGGCUCUUCAUCGGUUGCUGGAUGGCUGUCGUUUGAGCCACUUCAAAGUGAGGUCAGCACCAGUGGGAGCAAUUUUAUGAUAUUAUAAACAGGGCAGGGUAGAAUAACUCACUGCCCGAUCCCCUUUGGCCAGCAGAGAGGGGGAUUCUCAGGACCUGGGACUUCCAGUUUUCAUACUGGGAAAGUCCUGGGCAAACCAGGAUGAGGUGUCAGCCUGUGCAAGGUAAUGGAUUUGACCAUAAACUUCAGCAUUGCACUUCAAAAUAUUAAAGCGGUUGACAUUCUGAAUGUUCUUGAACUUACUUUACAGUACAGUGGACCUGUUUGCCAAAAUGCCCCGUGUCCCUUCCCAGCUGGCUCUAUCCACUCUUGAUACUCUCCUUCUGGAAAAGAACAUCGAAAUGAUUUCAGAGUGCAUCCCAUUCCCCUUCAGCGGCUCUUUGUUCUUGCAGAUUAGAGCAGGGGCAGGCUGAGAAGACAGGGUACCCCCCUUUCCCACCUGUCGGGCCAGCCAGGCCUCCCACCCUCUUCGUCAACCAAAGUGUCAUCGCUUUUACCUACCAAGAGGAAGUCUUCACAGCUCAAAAUUUUAAAAAAUAGAACAUUUGCAGAAAUAUGGAUAGACCUAGAGAUGAUCGUACUAAGUGAAGCAAAUAAGACAAAGACAAGUAUCAUGUGAUGUCACUCACACGUGGAGCUUAAAAAAUUAUGCCAAUGAACCAUUUGCAGAACAGAAAGAGAGUCACAGACAUUGAAAACAAACUGAUGGUUACCAAGGGGGAAAGAAGGCAGAGGGAUAAAUUAGGAGUUUGGCGUGAACACACUACUGUAUAUAAAAUAGAUAAACAAGGACCUACUGGGUAGCACAGGGAACUAUAUUCAGUAUCUUAUAAUAACCUAUAAUGGAAAGGAAUCUAUAUGUGUAACUGAAUCACUUUGCUGUUCACCUGAAAUUAACACAACAUUGUAAAUUUUUUUUCAAAGUACAUUUCCAAGCCAGUAACUAGAUGCUCACAUAUCCCUUUGGGCUCCUGUAUUCUGUGGUCGUCCAUGGAGAAUUGCUGAUUUUCCAAAGACUUUGAAUGAAAUGAAUUUCAAGAAAACUGCCUGUUCCAAUGGUUCUUAUGAUAGUGAGAGAUACUCACUGUGUGGUCCUUUUAUUUUUAGCAAUAGUGUUGGAAAAAUCAGGUUAUAUUUAUUCUGAGUGUCUGGGGGGGCUGGUGAGAUUGUGUAGUCUAGAAAAUGCUGGAAUUAUAAAUUAUUAUAAACAUCGACUGGGUAGCAAAAUUCAUAUACCAAAAAUACUGUGAUAUAUAAGUCUGCCUAUAGAUUUUCCCCUAGUUCACUGCCCAAAAAUGUAUACAUUGGCCAAAGAGAAUAAACCGAGAAAGUACUUGCACAGAGAAAUAUAAAUACAUUUAACUGUGCUGAUCUUUUGUCAAACAUGUUUUUUAUAUCAGCUCUCCUGCUUGUCCCAAAAGCCCCAAUUUUGAGUUCAUUUCUUUUCUUUUUUUUUAUUUUUUUCUGCCUUUCUUAAAAAUCUCAUAGUGUGGGCUUGUUUUUCUGUUGAAGACAUUCAGACUGUAAUACUUUCUAGUUUUUUUAGCAUUAACCAAAUAUUUUAUGGGCCUUCUCUGAGCUAUCCUUUAUUUUUGGUCUUUGGAUGUUUGUUGUCAUCAGAAUCCUGAGUUUUUUACAGGGCUGUCUCCGCCUUUAGGUAUGUUGAGGGCUGGUGAUAGCAGAAUUCACUUGGCUGGAGCCAGAAUGGGUUGGCUUCUCUUUAAUGGCAAUCCAGCUGCCCUCAAUGAAUAACAAGUUCCCUUCCUUGAGAGAGAAACGUUACAUUGCCUCGGUAUCUCAGGAGUGCAGUUCCAUAAAUAUUAGUAUGCAUGAUGGAACACAUCUUUAUUCAAGAGAGCAAAUACUGCCAACAAAAAUGAAAUAAUAGAGGAAAUAACUUCUAGUGAUUUCCAGCUUUAAUUAUGAGAAAUAAGUGAAAAAGAGCUUUCCAUAAAAAAAAUUUUUUUGCCACAGUGACAGUUGUCUAUCUCUUAGUUAAAGAUGAUUAUGCUCUGGGGUGGGGUGGAGGAGGUAGAUAAAAAUGAAUGUUUAGGUUUUAUUUUGUUUUUAAAGCAUUUUCUGUCUUUGCUUUUUUGCUUUAUUGGGUCAGAUGUUAUACUUGUUUUUUAAACCACCCACAGGCUCAGCUAUUUGGAUAGGGCUGGGCUCUGAACUAGAAGAGCUCAAGUUUAUUAUUAUGGGGUGGCCCCCCCAUUCCAUUUUAAUGAAAUGUCUGAUUCCAGAAUGUUCCAUUAGAGGCAAUAUUUUAAAGUGUUGUGAUUUUCCAAAUCAAGGAGAAUUUCCCUUAAAAAAAAAAAUCUGUAUUUAUCACCAGGCUGGAUACUUUCCCUAAACUACCUUGACUGCUUUUUCUAAAUGUGAAGACAUAGAAAAAGUGAAAAAUGAACAUUCUCCUCUAAAAAAAUUAUAAAUCCGUAAUUUGUGAGAAGGACUUUGUAUUUAAUUUUAUUUUUAUAGUAAAAUGUGACAUAGGUAAACAUCAUUGUAAAUUCUUCAAGAGGGGCCAUGAUGGGGGCAGGGUUAGCUAAUGUGGAGGAAAAGUGGAUUUAAAAACUCCAUUGCUGGGAUUUCCUGCCGUGGUGCAGUGGUUAACAAAUCCGACUAGGAACCGUGAGGUUGCAGGUGCGAUCCCUGGCCUUGCUCAGUGGGUUAAGGAUCCAGUGUUGCCGUGAGCUGUGGUGUAGGUCGCAGAUGAGGCUCAGAUCCCACGUUGCUGUGGCUCUGGUGUAGGCUGGUGGCUACAGCUCCAAUUCGACCCCUAGCCUUGGAACCUCCAUAUGCUGCGGGAGCAGCCCAAGAAAUGGCAAAAACAGACAAAAAGAAAAAAAAAAA